CUUCGUCACAGGUGCGUCCUGGAUGUAUGGAGAUUCCAAAGUUUGUUUCUGUUCCUGGUGGAAAACGUUUGUAGUUGACAAACAGAUGUCAGCACAUCCUCACAGGGAGAACAUCGGACUCAGAUUCACACCUUGCAGUGCGAACACAAGAGCGGUACAGCUGAGGCUGCUGCCUCCCCGCUGCCCUCCCUCUCUCCCCCGGACACUCACGACUGACUCAACUCUGGCCAUCAACUGCUGACCGCUUUCCAAAAACUUGAUUUCACAAAUGGAGAAACAGCAUCUGCUUUCCUACAGCAUAACAUAUGGCGGAUAUAACUGCUCAUAAGAACCGAAGCAGGCUCAGACAAACAAAGCCAAGCAAGACACACGCCUGGUGUUCCUGCCUGUUUUUUGGGGACUGCCCAGGUCAGGGUGUGAAGAGUGACUCAGAAAAAGUGGAACUUUGAUGCCAAUAGAUCACUUUCUUCUGCCAGCGCCCAUCUCCAUCAUCGCCACAUCAGCUGCUCCCAAGGUUGUGAGGUCAUCGGAACAUCUGGCUCCUACACCAUGUUUUCAAAGGUCAGUGGGAAGCAUCUGUUUAUAGACCCUGCCACCUUCAGUGUCCCUGACAACACUGGGAAAGCAGAGCGGUUGUUUUGAGCAGACAUAAAUGUUGACAGGCCAUGAGUCUGAUGUAGUUGACCUGCUGUGUCUAAUGUCUAUGUAUAAUAAUGUUAAUAAUCUAUUGAUGGUCACUUGAGUUUUGAAUCGGUUCCAAAAGCACCGUGCUGCUGCCGUUAACACUUACCGGUCUGCCACAUGUUUAUUAAUGCCUACAUAAAAUUGUCAAGAAACCCGUUUGCUCAGCCAGUAGUUUACUUGUUCUUGCAUCAGUUUAAUGAAGAUGGUACCAGUAUGACAUUUAGAUAAAACUCCAAAUACGACGGUUUACAUUUAUUUAGCCUAUCAUUAGCUAGGUACCAGUUGUUUUAAUACCCACAUGUAUCCAUUUG
This is a long non-coding RNA of Cynoglossus semilaevis (tongue sole), 995 nucleotides long. RefSeq lists it as uncharacterized. The record is from RefSeq and is a predicted model, not a curated record. Lineage: Eukaryota; Metazoa; Chordata; Actinopteri; Pleuronectiformes; Cynoglossidae. The transcript is spliced from 4 exons.